CUAAGCUAGUGAAAGUAUGCUCAUCCAGUUUUUAUACCCUUUAAACAACUCUAUAUUUUAAUACAAAAAAUUACUUAAAAUGACUCUAAUUAAUCAUAAAAUGACUAGAUUAACUCAUAUAAUUUUAUAAUUACUAGACUAACUUUUGAAACAUACAAAUUUACUAUUUUGCUCUUACUAAGAUUUAAAACUCUAAUUAAAAAGAAACACAUCUUAAUAUUAACAAAAAAAGGAAAAAGAAAAAAACGUCGAACACCGUUUUCUCCACCAGAGCUAGGAAAGCUCUUCUUGUCGUCUCGUCACCUCCAUCUCCGACGGUCUCUUUUCCGUCCACAACCAGGUUCGUCUCUGUCACCUCUACUGUAACUCAACUUUCUCUCCGGCAUCCUCCACGAUAAUUCACCUUCGUCUAUGUGUUUUUCGGCAAACCCAAAUCGAUUUCACCUCAGUGACAUCUGGAUUCAAUUGCAAGCUACUCUAAUAUCCUUUUAUGAGUGGCAGGCGUGGGAAGAACUCUCUUUGUAUGGUUUUGGAUCUGACAAGAGAGCUUGUGCAUCAGGUUGAGAAUAAAUUCAGGGAAUUUGCUCCAAGCUUGGAUACUAUAUGUCUUUAUGGAGGUACACCGAUCUGACAGCAAGUGCGGGAGCUCAACUAUGGUGUUGAUGUUGCAGUUGGUACUCCAGGUCGUAUCGUCGAUCUGAUCAAAAGGGGAGCUUUGAAUCUAUCAAAGCUUCAGUUUGUGGUUCUUGAUGAAGCUGAUCAGAUGCUUCAGGUUGGAUUUGUGUAGGAUAUGGAAGUUAUAUCGGGGGAUUUGGUUGACUGUUCACCGUCAACUGGAGAGAGCAGCUUUGUUGGUUUUGGAUAACAGAUCUUACUGAGAAGUGUUGCGUGAGUUAUGAUCUGAGCCUGCAAUAAUGGAGGGCUUGGUGACUUGAGAUUUUUAGUAGAGUUUAGUUAUACUAUACAGUAUAAUCUCUUAAAAUUAAUCAUCGAUAGAUUAAUAUCUCUAUAAAUUAAUAUAAUUUCAUAGUCCCAAAUUGA
Long non-coding RNA from Raphanus sativus (radish), 1041 nucleotides. RefSeq lists it as uncharacterized. The transcript is spliced from 2 exons. The record is from RefSeq and is a predicted model, not a curated record. NCBI's taxonomy places the organism in Eukaryota, Viridiplantae, Streptophyta, Magnoliopsida, Brassicales, Brassicaceae.